GAAACAAGAGUCAUAAGGAGAUGACAUAGUCCUCCAUCCCCACAAAUCACUAAUAAAAAGUGUCAGGGGAUCAACCAAGUACGCGCUUAUGCUAAAUAUGAAUGA
Molecule: long non-coding RNA, 105 nt
Organism: Thalassophryne amazonica
Lineage: Eukaryota; Metazoa; Chordata; Actinopteri; Batrachoidiformes; Batrachoididae
Exons: 3
Source: RefSeq, a predicted model, not a curated record